Molecule: long non-coding RNA, 411 nt
Filed under: Parus major (Great Tit)
Lineage: Eukaryota; Metazoa; Chordata; Aves; Passeriformes; Paridae
Description: lncRNA (ENSPMJG00000004977.1)
Source: RNAcentral
AUGAGAUUUGCUUUUCUUCUUCUUCCGUUCUGGGGGAUGUGUCACUCUGCAGGAGCACAUGUGUGUGUCUGCUUGGAUCACAGCAACAUUUUACUGCAGAAGAUGGAGGGCUUGCCACAGCCAUCUGGAAUAUUGCUGGCUCCAGUGCUUCCAGGGGAAAAACAUGGACAAAAUGGAUUUUCCUCUGCCUGGAAGCAAAUACAUAGAUUGUGUUUCUAAACCAAAGGAGCUCAUGCUUGCUGGAGCAGACUUUUGGAAGUGAUGUUGGCUUCUUAAAGGUCUCCUUGCUGGUGAGCAGUAGGAGACAGGGUCUGCCUCACUCCCCAGCCCAUGGAUAAAAUCAUAAUAUUUUCAGGUAAAAUCAUCAUUAAAAGAUAAAAUCAGUUUUGGAUAAAAUCAUCAUUAAAAGUU